GAUGAACGCUGGCGGCGUGCUUAACACAUGCAAGUCGAACGGAAAGGCCCAAGCUUGCUUGGGUACUCGAGUGGCGAACGGGUGAGUAACACGUGGGUGAUCUGCCCUGCACUUCAGGAUAAGCCUGGGAAACUGGGUCUAAUACCGGAUAGGACGAUGGUUUGGAUGCCAUUGUGGAAAGUUUUUUCGGUGUGGGAUGAGCUCGCGGCCUAUCAGCUUGUUGGUGGGGUAAUGGCCUACCAAGGCGUCGACGGGUAGCCGGCCUGAGAGGGUGUACGGCCACAUUGGGACUGAGAUACGGCCCAGACUCCUACGGGAGGCAGCAGUGGGGAAUAUUGCACAAUGGGCGCAAGCCUGAUGCAGCGACGCCGCGUGGGGGAUGACGGCCUUCGGGUUGUAAACUCCUUUCGCUAGGGACGAAGCGUUUUUGUGACGGUACCUGGAGAAGAAGCACCGGCUAACUACGUG
Molecule: ribosomal RNA, 468 nt
Filed under: uncultured bacterium
Lineage: Bacteria
Description: partial 16S ribosomal RNA
Rfam family: Bacterial small subunit ribosomal RNA
Source: RNAcentral